This 460-nucleotide ribosomal RNA is filed under the name uncultured bacterium. Its description in RNAcentral is "partial 16S ribosomal RNA". It matches the Rfam family "Bacterial small subunit ribosomal RNA", at positions 338 to 795 of the family's 1533-position model. The record is from RNAcentral.
CCUACGGGUGGCAGCAGUGAGGAAUAUUGGUCAAUGGACGGAAGUCUGAACCAGCCAUGCCGCGUGCAGGAAGACGGCUCUAUGAGUUGUAAACUGCUUUUGUACAAGGGUAAACCUGAAUACGUGUAUUCCGCUGAAAGUACUGUACGAAUAAGGAUCGGCUAACUCCGUGCCAGCAGCCGCGGUAAUACGGAGGAUCCAAGCGUUAUCCGGAUUUAUUGGGUUUAAAGGGUGCGUAGGCGGAUUGAUAAGUUAGAGGUGAAAUGUCCGAGCUUAACUCGGGAACUGCCUCUAAUACUGUUGAUCUAGAGAGUAGAUGCGGUAGGCGGAAUGUAUGGUGUAGCGGUGAAAUGCUUAGAGAUCAUACAGAACACCGAUUGCGAAGGCAGCUUACCAAUCUAUAUCUGACGUUGAGGCACGAAAGCGUGGGGAGCGAACAGGAUUAGAUACCCCUGUAGUC